RNAcentral lists this ribosomal RNA (467 nucleotides) under uncultured bacterium. RNAcentral's name for it is "bacterial SSU rRNA". It matches the Rfam family "Bacterial small subunit ribosomal RNA", at positions 28 to 507 of the family's 1533-position model. The record is from RNAcentral.
GAUGAACGCUAGCGGCAGGCUUAAUACAUGCAAGGUCGAGGGGGCAGCAAUGUCACCGGCGAACGGGUGCGUAACGCGUAUGCAACCUACCCUGUACUGGGGGAUAGCCCGGAGAAAUUCGGAUUAAGACCCCAUAGCACUUAAGAAUGGCAUCAUUCAUAAGUUAAAGGUUACGGUACAGGAUGGGCAUGCGUCCCAUUAGCUAGAUGGUGAGGUAACGGCUCACCAUGGCGACGAUGGGUAGGGGGCCUGAGAGGGUGGUCCCCCACACUGGUACUGAGACACGGACCAGACUCCUACGGGAGGCAGCAGUGAGGAAUAUUGGUCAAUGGGCGCAAGCCUGAACCAGCCAUGCCGCGUGCAGGAAGACGGUCCUAUGGAUUGUAAACUGCUUUUAUUUGGGAAUAAACCUAUCUACGUGUAGAUAGCUGAAGGUACCAAAUGAAUAAGCACCGGCUAACUCCGUG